UAUGAUUCCAGAGACUGAAGGCUUUUUCCAGGACUCGGACUGUGACGUGUGUUUGUGACAUCGACAUCAAACCACAAUCACGACUCUGAACCAGGAGGAAGUCAAAGCUGAAAUCAGUCCUGAAUCCGUCAGCGCUGCAGAGACGACGGCAUACAGGUGAGUAAAAGGAUACGCACCUUGGCGAGGAAGGUUCCGGUGAUGAAGAUCUCCAUGGCGGUGGUGAUGAGGAGCUGGAUGAUGAGCAGGACGAUGGCAGACGGACAUUCCUCCGUGAUGCAGCGGUAUCCGUAUCCGAUGGUGGUCUGAGUCUCCAGCGAGAAGAGAAAGGCUGCGCUCUUACCGAGCAGGUCUCCGUGCACCAGAGCCAGCAGGUACCACAGCAGUCCAAAGGCGAACCAGGUUCCCACAAACGUGGCGCUGAACAGAACCAGUUUGUACCUCCACUGCAUGUCCACAAAGGUGGUCCA
Long non-coding RNA from Onychostoma macrolepis, 467 nucleotides. RefSeq lists it as uncharacterized. The record is from RefSeq and is a predicted model, not a curated record. NCBI's taxonomy places the organism in Eukaryota, Metazoa, Chordata, Actinopteri, Cypriniformes, Cyprinidae. The transcript has 3 exons.